Molecule: long non-coding RNA, 854 nt
Organism: Alligator mississippiensis (American alligator)
Lineage: Eukaryota; Metazoa; Chordata; Crocodylia; Alligatoridae
Exons: 5
Source: RefSeq, a predicted model, not a curated record
GUCUCUGCCACUUUAAGGGCCUGGAGCUGGCAGCCUCCAGGUGCCUGAUUAGGGCAGCCAUUUUGAGGCUUAGGCUGCUUAUAUAAACAAGGCAGUUUGGCUGCAGGAGGCCAGGCAGCAACAUUGCCUGGCUGUAGGGCUGCUGUGAACGACCCGGAGGAGUGGGGUGCAAGGAAAGAGAAGAGGAAGAUAAGAAACUGCUGAAGAGAUGGAGUAUCUGAAAACCCCCAAGGAGCUAAAUCUCUCAGAACUGGCUGAGUUCAACUGAGAAAAGACAGAGCUGUUGGAUGUUGUUAAGAGUUGUCUGAAAAGCACUGCUAGAGUCUUUCAUUAAGAUUGGCAUUUCAUUAAUAAAUUCACUUCAGUGAAAUGAAAAAAGGGGGAACAUCUCCAAAGGUGAAUUGAACACAAGAAUAAUGGAGUGACCUUUGUCACUUAGAUGGCAUUCAUGGUCUUUGUGUUAUAUACUCUUCACUGAUACCCACUUCAGUGUACAUAACUUCUCAACUACUUAGAAAGAACAAUUUGCCAGAAGUCUUACAAGAUUUGGCUACAAGAUCCUUUAGUUAGUUGAAUACUUGACAGUUUUAGCUUCCAUGAAUUAAAAAAAGGAAAAGAAAAGAUGCAGACAUCCUAAAACUCCGAGAUCCACUCAGUUGUAGAAAAAAGCUAGAAAAUAUUAUUCUGAUGAACACGAAAAGUUCACAAAAGAUCCAGAAGGCAAAUAAAAACCCCCCAAUACUUUUCCCUUUAAUCUCUUGACUGUUAAGCCAAAUUCAUGAUUUUCAAAUACUUGGUGCUGGAAAUACAAUCUGUAGCAUGGUACGAGUACAAAGAAAAAAAGUCAAACUGAA